Molecule: ribosomal RNA, 406 nt
Filed under: uncultured bacterium
Lineage: Bacteria
Description: partial 16S ribosomal RNA
Rfam family: Bacterial small subunit ribosomal RNA
Source: RNAcentral
AUUGAACGCUGGCGGCAGGCCUAACACAUGCAAGUCGAACGAGUGGCGGACGGGUGUGUAAUGUCUGGGAAACAGCCUGAUGGAGGGGGAUAACUACUGGAACCGGUAGCUAAUACCGCAUACCAUCAGAUGUGCCCAGAUGGGAUUAGCUAGUUGGUGGGGUAACGGCUAACCAAGGCGACGAUCCCUAGCUGGUCUGAGAGGAUGACCGGCCACAUUGGAACGUAGACACGGUCCAGACGCCUACGGGAGGCAGCAGUGGGGAAUAUUGCACAAUGGGCGCAAGCCUGAUGCAGCAAUGCCGCGUGUAUGAAGAAGGCCUUCGGGUUGUAAAGUACUUUCAGCGGGGAGGCGUUACCCGAAGAAGAAGCACCGGCUAACUCCGUGCCAGCAGCCGCGGUAAUUC